CCUUCGAUAGCUCAGUUGGUAGAGCGGAGGACUGUAGUGGUUACAUCAGGCAUCCUUAGGUCGCUGGUUCAAAUUCGGCUCGAAGGA
Non-coding RNA from Larimichthys crocea (large yellow croaker), 87 nucleotides. The record is from Rfam. Lineage: Eukaryota; Metazoa; Chordata; Actinopteri; Sciaenidae.